UACAGAGGUCUCAAGCGUUGUUCGGAUUCAUUGGGCGUAAAGGGUGCGUAGGCGGCGCGGUAAGUCGGGUGUGAAAUCUCGGGGCUUAACUCCGAAACUGCAUUCGAUACUGCCGUGCUUGAGGACUGGAGAGGAGACUGGAAUUUACGGUGUAGCGGUGAAAUGCGUAGAUAUCGUAAGGAAGACCAGUGGCGAAGGCGGGUCUCUGGACAGUUCCUGACGCUGAGGCGCGAAAGCUAGGGUAGCAAACGGG
This 253-nucleotide ribosomal RNA is filed under the name uncultured bacterium. RNAcentral's name for it is "partial 16S ribosomal RNA". It matches the Rfam family "Bacterial small subunit ribosomal RNA", at positions 524 to 776 of the family's 1533-position model. The record is from RNAcentral.